UAGCCAAAACCUAUAAUCUAAAUUCAAACAUAGCUCGACAGCUCUCCACUCCCUAGCUCUAGCCUCUCAUCUCUCGUAUUUUUCGCUGAUGGCCUGACAACCCCUUCCUCAUACUCAGUUUGCACCUCCUGUCUAGGUGUCUACCUGCGACUCAGCCACUGCGUCCAGUAACCGAGGGCUCUUUAUGGAUGUCAAUCGGGCCAGCCCACCGAAUUUCGGGCCAGCCCUAUCAGGUUUUGGGUUAAUCGGGCGCGAGCUAAUCGGGCUGGGGAUUUUAUCGGGUUAUAAAUUUUCAACCCUAACCCUAAACGUUCGAGUUUCGGGCUAGCCCAUCGGGCUAGUCGGCUUAAAUGUGUGAAAAUAAAAUAAUCAUUUGUAUUUUGUAAUUUUUAAUGAUCUAAUGUAUAAUGUAUAAGCAUGAAAUGCAUAAAAUAAAAGAUAUUGAAAAAAACAUCAUGAUUACAUAACAUAUAAAUAAGUUGGCAACAAUAAAAUGUUCAACUUUGUUAACAAAAAAAUAAUAAAAUAUCAAACAAUAGUUUGAAUUCAAAGAAUCAAAGCAUCUCAAACAUACAGAAAAGUGAAAUGAUGAGACUUUAUAAUAUUUUGUCAUUUUUUUAUUUUUAUAUCUAAAUAUUCAAUAUUAAGUAUUCGGAUUUCGGGCUAGCCCAUCGGGUUAGUCGGGCCGCCCUAUCGGGUGUCGGGCUAUUCGAUUAUGGGCUAAUCGUGUUGUAACUUUUAUCGGGUUGAAAAUAUUCAACCCUAACCCAUCGGAUGGCGGGUUAAUCGGGCCAGCCCACGAGUUUCGGGCUAGAUUGACAUCUCUACUGAAUGCAUUCUGAAAUUCUGCCGACUUUGUUUGGUUUGGACCGAACUGGACCAAUAAACAAGGGUCGGUUCCGGUUCGAUUUCAUUCUUAACUUCGGUCCGGGUCUGUUCGGUAGUUUUCAAGUUGUCGGUUCUCAGUUUGAUCCGGUCAAUUCGAUCCAAAUGCACAACCUUAGUUUUGAACACGAGAAUCGCUUAUUUUUUGUAAUGAGAAUCGUCAUUUCAUGCCUAUUCCCAUAAAUAUGGGAUAAGCCAUUCGUCCCCUUCCCCAUGGUACUGUGUAUUCUCACAGAUAAGAGAUUACUUAUUCAUUAUUUAUUUUUUAUUUUGACAAAUUUAUAAUAAUAAUAAUAAUAAUAAUAAUAAUAAUAAUAAUAAUAAUAAUAAUAAUAAUAAUAAUAAUACUCUCUCCACAAAAGAAUUUCCUACUUCUAUAUAUAAUACUAUAAAUGAAAGUUUAAAUUACUAGAAUACUUGGAAUUAAACUUAUUUAUGCUUAAUUGAAGGUCAAUUGUGAAAAUCUGAAAAUAUACUAUCUCUGUCCACGAAAUAACUUUCUGUUUUUCCUUUUUGGAACGUCCAAGAAAUAACUUUUUACUUUUCCUUCUUGGGACGUCCACGAAAGAACUUUCUACCUAUAAAUAUCUCAUUUACUCUUACUUUUCACCUUUUCACCACUCUAUUAUUAAAAUAAAAUUUUAUUAAAAAGAAAAAUUAAAAAACCCUUGAAAGCACAAAAAGCAGACUAAGGGCCGAGCCUUUUGGAAAAUCCGAGAGGGAAAAGCCUUAGCAAGGAAAAAAGAGUGCUCGUCUAAAGAACAAUGUUAAUGAGCUAAGUUGAGGCUAUUUCAGAAACUCCGGCCGAACCAUCGCCCCUAAAUAACCCCGGCUCGUUAACAGAAAACAGCAAAAGCCAGGAAUAACAAAACUAGCAUAAAUGAGCAGCCAAAUCCAAGCCAUAGAAAAGCCGCUGUGAAACUAAACUACCUUUGUUUUUUGAAACAUGUGUCACUCCAUCAUAGGAAGUUCUUUUGUGGACGGAAGCAAUAAAUGAUUUAUAUUUUACUUUUAAUAAUAAUAGUAAUAGUAAUAGUAAUAGUAAUAGUAAUUUUUUGGGAUAAUUGCGUGAAAAUACACAAACUUUGUCAAAAAUCCAUAUUUAACGCGAAGUUAGGAUUUUACAUUUUAAUACACCAACUUUCGUUGUUGUCCAAAUUUGACACGACUUAAUUCUUAAAAAUUCAAAAACAACCCCUUUUUGUAAAUAAUUAUACAAAGACCCACUUAUGUUAUUAUUUGGGACAUUUAAACCAAAACAAGAUAUUUCCUUAUGAUGUUUUCUUUUAAUCUUUGAUCCGCGCCUAAAAUGGUUUAAAAGAAAACAUCAUAAGGAAAUAUCUUGUUUUGGUUUAAAUGUCCCAAAUUAUAACAUAAGUGGGUCUUUGUAUAAUUAUUUACAAAAAGGGGUUGUUUUUUGAAUUUUUAAGAAUUAAGUCGUGUCAAAUUUGGACAACAACGAAAGUUGGUGUAUUAAAAUGUAAAAUCCUGACUUCCCGUCAAAUAUGGAUUUUUGGCAAAGUUUGUGUAUUUAGGUGCAAUUUUCCCUAAUAGUAAUAGUAAUAGUAAUAGUAAUAGUAAUAGUAAUAGUAAUAAUAAUAAUAAUAAUAAUAAUAAUAAUUAUUAUUAUUAUUAUUGUGUUAAUUAUAUUUUAUUCAUAUCUAUUCAUUCCUUGUAGAUACCAGCCAUAAAGAAUUCUAUAUUUAUUUUUAUUCAAUUUUCUUCUAAUUUCAUUCCUGCAUACCAGCCAUCACCUUAAUCUCAAGACAAUAUCACAUAGAAUAAGUUAUGAUUUAUGAAUCUUGGCCUAUUUCUAGGACAAAAAUAAUCUCAAUUUAAUUAAAUUUUGAAUAAUUUCGAGACGAUUCAGUUUCAAGCAAUUGAAAAAUAAAUAUUAGGGGGACGUUGGAAUGAGGGGGAUGUUGGGAUCAAUUUUUGUUAGGUUCUUUUUAGUUUUAAUUAUAAAUUAAUUUAUUUAUACAUCUAUAUUGUAUUAAAAUAUCAAUAUUUUAACUUGCAAUCAAUUUCAAAUUGAUUUUAAAAUUGAGUGACAAGUUUGUAAUUAUAAUAAAAUUGAAAGUUUAUUUGUAAAUUAUAUUGUUUAUUCAUUUUUUUAUCUUUUUUAUUUUUUCUUUCUAAAAUUGUGAAAUUAGACUAAUAAUAAUACACUCCCUCCGUCCCGUUUCAAAUGGCCCUAAAUUUUUCUACACGAAGAUUAAGAAAUGUGUUGUAAAUGUAUAAAGUGGCGGUACCCACCUUAUUAAUGACUUUUGUAAACCUAAUUAACUAAAGCAAGUAAGAGAGAGAAACUCAUGCAAAAGUGAAUUAAAUACUCAAAAGAGAUAUUAUGUUGCCGCCAACUUCAAAAUUCUGAAAACAAUUGGAAUAAAAAAUUCUACCAACUUAAAUUAUGUGCAAAUUUUUGGUGCCAAAUUUGGCACCAAAAACAAGAUUCUGCCAUAAAUUACACAUUCCUUCUCAAAAUUAAAAAUACAUUAUACUUCUAUAAAUUCAACUCAUAUGCCAUAACUAUUUACAAGCUCAAAAACAUCAAAUGGCUUCCAAAAAAAACAUGACUUCCCUAGAAAGGGAGGCUGCACUUCAGUUUCUCUUGAAUGGCAGUAAAAAUAGCACAACAACAAAGGGGAAGAUGAAGGCAGCUUGUGUGAAGUUCUCCAAGAGUCGUCGCACCAUCAAUCGUCUUUGGGUUGAAGCAACAAACCAAAAGGGACGCGUAGAGGACAUCACUGAAGAUCCUCAACCAUCGUCUCCACCACUACUUUCCUCUGAUGAUCCCACUCAAGCCGAGGGUAUCACUCACAAAUCAGGACGUACUCUUGCUUCUUUUGUUCCUGCAGAAAAUGAGCAAGUCAUUCCGUCUGCUCCAACCUAUGCAUCUGAUCCUCCCUCUUCAUCUAAAGGAGCUUCCACAUCUCAAAUUCAACCCAGGGCACUGCAUGUUCCCCCUAAAUUGGCUGUUGAAUUCAUAGAGAUUCCUCGCAAACCACGGGCUGUCAGAUAUGAUUCUGACCUCGAGACUGAUGGAUAUGUCACAAAAUGUAAACGUUGAAUCCCGCCCAAGGCCACAUUCCAACUUGCUGAUGAAGACGCAGAAGAUCCGAUUCAAGCUCUUCUGGACGUCAUCUCUGAUUAGCAGAAUGAGAUUGCCACUCUCAAGCAUGAACGCGAACUGCACGACAUCUAUGGCGCCAAAUUUCUCAAAUAUUUGCGUGAUGUCAAAAAACAGGCAACCGAGGACAUGAUUGAUCAUGAUAUUCGGAUUAAACAGCUUGAUGCGGCCUUGACUAAACUACGUUAAAUUCAUUUUAACUAUGAACACGACAUGAUUCCUACCAAGGCCAUUACUGUACUCACACAUGACAGAUAUAAGGCCCUUCACACCUAUGUCCUGGAACACGAAGUUCAGACCAAAGAGAAGCUUCUGACGCUUCAACAAGAACUUCGUGGCCUUCGAAUCGAAUUCAUGAAAGACUUCAUGACCUCUACCGAUGCUCAACUGAUGGUAGCAGAAGCUCUUCGUCUUGUCAAUGCUCGAAUUACUCAGCUAGAAGGUGAGCUUCGAAGUAUUCAUAAUUCUUCUGAUUCAAAGAGAUACAACUUCAAGUCAACUCUAUCCCUCGUGAUGAUGCCAAAAAGGGGGGAAGAGAUUAUGGAUGAUCGUCUCUUUGAUGCUCUCCCAAAAUAAUUGGCCCAGAACUUUGCCGAUUCUAGAGCUAUCCUUGCUCGUGCUACUUCGAAGACUGCUCAUGUCCCGUCUAUUUUAGAAGAAUAUAGCCGAAAGAGAACAAGGGAAGAAAGCUCAUCCAGAGAUCCAGAGCCUAAGGCCAAGAAGGCUCUCCACCUUGGUGAAAAUGCUCUACGACCGCCUCCUCAACAAUCCUUCCCUCAAAUGCUUCGAGAAGAACAUAAAAUGAAGUACUAUAUCAGCGAAUGACUCCUGGUAUCCUACCUAGAUAGGUUUGAUAGACAAGAUAAAUGGACACCAGCUAACAUGAACGAAUGGUGGCAAAAGCUGAAAGAAUGUUACAACAAGUGGAUUGUCUUUGCCAAAUCUUAACAGGGAUUCGAAUUCCAGAAAGAAGCCUGGAAGUACUUUCUUGUUAACUGACAUGAAAGAGGAAUGGUUGAAAGGAUGCACUGCUCAAAGAGAAGCAAAACUUCAGAUUUCUAAUCCCUUAAAAACGACAGUUUGCCCUCCAAGAAUCAGAAAUGGCGGCAAUAGAGAAACAAUCAAGAGAGAAGUCAGAGUCACUUGCAAGAUCUGGAAUGUGCCCUCAAACUUCAACUCAGAUGAUUUUGAUAAGAUCUGGAAGACAGUCUUCAAUCUGUAUGGUCAGAAACCCUAGUUUCUAGAACUGGUUCUUCUUUGCAAGAUCUACUUUCUUCUUGUAUUUUAAACUGAUGUCUCGACAGUUUUUCUUAAUGAAAAGAAUUUCUUUUUGAUCUCAACCUGAAGACAAUACCUUUUUGUCCAGGCUCUGAUUACUGUCUUUCAGUUAUGUCUUCGUUUUUGUUUCUUUAAACUGUUGUGUUCUUCCUUCAAAGUGCAUGUUUUAGGUUCUAUUGUUAAGGGGAAUAGUAUUCACCCUGUUUAAAAGCUUGUGCCUUGAGUUCAGCCUUUUUCUUAAUUAAAACUGUUGUGCGAUUUUGGCAUCAUCAAAAAGAGGAAAAUUGUUGGGAACUUAAUGAAAUAUCCUAAUCCUAGUUUUGAUGAUACCAAAAUCAAUAGGUGUCACUUGUAUAGACUAGAACUGUUCGAACUCAAGUGUUAGAGUUCUUUUUCUAGUUUAAUUGUUGUUCUGAAGACUGAAGAUGCCGACUGAUGUGACGAUUAAGGCAAAGUCAAAUACUGAUAUUUGACUUAUCAGUCGAAGAAUCAGUUUCGACUAAUUACUUAAUGCGAGCCACGUGGAUUCAGCGGUCUGAUACUAAAGUCAAGUGUGUUGAAAUCCAGUGUGCGCUAGGAGUGAGAAAUCCAACCCAGUGUGUUGGUACUGAAGAUAGGCUCUUCAGUUGUUUUUGUUUGUUGUGCACCCGUAAGCACACGUUUAGGUUUGUUGUGCACUCGUAAGCACAUGCCCAGUGAAGUUGUCGGUCUGAUCAACUGACCGUGGAUGUAGGAAGUGUUUUCUGAACCAUGUAAAAAUCUCUGUGUUAUUUACAACUUUCAGUAUUUACCUUCUUACUUGUGCUCUUACUUUCUUAAACUGAAAACUGAUUAAUUGCAAUAUGAAACUUAACUGCUGACAACGUGAUUCAUAUCACAUGCUAUUUCGAAAUAAAAGUUUUCUGCUGCGUGUGUUAUUAGUCUAACUGAUCUAUUUUCAGAUAUUCAGUAAGAUUCAUAACAUCUCUCUAUUUAACAAACUCGACUGAAGCCUUACGUGUAUCAGUUAAAGUCUUUAACUUAACUGAUAACUCUUUACUGAAGAGUAUUCAGUAUCAGUCGUCAACUUUGUUUUGAUAAAACUCUUUUCACUAAAGGUUGAGUCAGUUUGUGUUUCAAGUUUCAUUUUCAAAAAUAGCCUAUAGGUGUAUUCCCCCCUCCCCCAUACACUUAUUCGAGACCCUCCGGACCCAACAUGUUAUUUGUUCAAUACCUAAGUCUUUGUAAAGGCAUCGAACGUGAGUGUAAAUCAUUCUCAGUUUUAGUAAAGUUUUACCAUAGGGCUUCUACAAGUUAUAAUUUAUAACUUGUAGAAAAAUUUUCCAUCCUUGUGUUCUCGUUUCUAUUUUAAUUCCGCUGCUUUAUACUCUGUGCGCACUUGUGCGUCUCCUAAACACAGUGCAUAAUUUUUGCGAAGAAACACUUUCAAUUGGCGUCAGAGCCAACACUUGACACACUGAGUGUGAUCCUCGCUGUUACAGUAACAGUUGCUUUCACAUGGAUCCCGGUAGUUUGGGUAUUGUGCGACCUCCAAUUCUUGAUGGUGCAAAUUACUCUUUCUGGAGGACAAGGAUUCAACAAUAUAUAAAGGUUGUUGAUUGAUGGACGUGUAUACCACCAAAUAAUUUCUGCAAUAGGUAAGAAUUAAUACAGUUUAGUAGCUAGCAGGGUCGAACCACAGAGAACGGGUAAUUGCAAUCAAUUUUCUAGAGAUCUAAGUUGGUGUAGCCACCACGCCUUAAUUUUGAGAGAAAUAUUAAUAAACUAAGGAAGCAAAUACAUCAAAUAACAAUUACAAGAAUUCAAUCAAAGAAAGGUAACUCGGCCCGAAUAAAUCCACACUAAUUUAAUAAAUCCAUUCAUCGACGCAAAGAUAAAUUAAUCCCUAUCAACCAACCAGUUAUAGGAUACCGUGAACGCACUGACAUACCCCAAUUCCUAUUUUCUGUGUCGAUAGACAGCUGUAGACCCCUUAUUAAAAUAUAACCUAGCUGGAGACGCCAGACCUAAAUUUAAUAUUUUAAUAGCAUUAAGAUGAAGGAACCCGAUUUAGACAAAUUACCCAAGAACGCAAGUAAUAAGUCGUCUACUAAUUUAUUCCUACUACGAACAUGGUAGCUUUAUCACUUAUCAACCAUAUUCCAAUAAUUACGGAUUGGUAGGAACCAAUUGACUUUAAUCCAAUUAAAUCUAAGUUGAUCAGGCUUAAAUUAAAUCAGAAUUAACUCUAAACACAAGGAAUAAAUCGGAAUCAACAAGAAUCAAUUAUAUGCUUAAUUAGGUCUCACAGAUAUUAAAUCAGUAUUUCAUUAUUCUCGCCGAAUUAAGAAUUUAGCUUCUCAUGAUUAAACUAAACACAAUCAAAUAAAUAAAGAUGAACAUUAAACAAGAAAAUAAAUUGCAAUUAAAUAAAAUAUCAAUCGUUUGCUCCCCAAAGUUAGUUCCAGCCGCCCAGUCUCAAUGUAAAAGCAAGAAGAAAAUAAAAUAGUUUGCCUAAUCUCCAAGUAAGUAAAAACGUGUAGCACUAGAAUUAUAUAUACUAAAUCUAACUUUCUCUCUCCUCUCUAAAACUAGCGGCUGUUUUUAACUUAAGCAAAAUAUAUAUGAGAUUAAAAUCCCUAAGGUGCCGAUCACCCCUAUAAAUUGGGCUUCCCGACCCUUACAAAAAAUAGAGCCCACUAUUAAUUAAAAACAAGAGUAUUAGGCUUAAUUAAAUUUAAACAAUUGAUUCAAAGCCCAAUUUCUGAAUCUCUUCCAAAAUCAUGCCAUCUUCUUCAAAUUCACGCAUUUCCCGAACUUUCUUCAUCACGAGCCUCCAACUACGAUCCAUGCAAUUCCUGUGCCAAAACACCACAAACUUGGGUAAUGUCAAGUAAAAUCCUCGGCAAACGACACGAAUCUAAACAACUAAAUCACACACAUCAUUGAUAUAAAAGCCCGGUAUUCUAUCGAAGAUGAGUGGUCUGCCCCUAAGACCGCGGAUGCUCACGGUGAUGUGAUCCAAACACUGCAUGCUCAAUGGACCCGAACUCAGCUCGAAGAGGCAAAUUUCAAUGAGAAGACCAAGCACGCCAUCUAUUCGUUUGUGGACAUGAAUAUGUUCCAGCUUAUCAAAAACAGUACAUCCGCCAAGGAACAAUGGGAGUGCUCCAAAGGCAUUGCGAAGGAGAGACAAGCAUUAAUGAAACGAGGCUACGCAUCAUUGCCACCAAGUUUGAGAACAUGAAGAUGGAGGAGGAUGAAGACAUCGAGGAGUAUACGACGAGGAUACUCAAUAUUGCAAAUGACUGCAAUGAGCUUGGUGAUCCGAUUAGCAGUCGUUUGCUUUUUCAAAGGCGCUCAAAACUCUAUCGUCUCGCUUUGAAAUGAAAAUCACUACAAUCGAAACAAUUCAAAAUAUUGUUGCUCUGGAGUUCGUGGAUCUCAUGAACACCCUCAGAACAUAUGAAAUUACGCUGGAAGAAAGAGGGUUGCUUGAUAAGAAGAAGGCAGUUACAUUCACUGCAAGUCAACAUCGGCGGCAUCAUCCAGUGGCUGUAUUCUUGAGAUUCGUGACGUUGAUGAAGCUGAUGAGCUUGGAGAGAUCAAUGCUGGAGAUGAUGUUGCCCUCAUCACAAGGAAGUUCAACACCAUGGUGAGGAAGAUGAACAAGGCAAAGGGACAAGAAAGGUCAAGGGAGGAAGAGUCUCCAAAAGCCGACUUCCCAUCACUCAAGAAGAACGAGUUCACAUCUCCUCGACCAAUGAGAAAAGUCACCUCAACUAAUGAAUCUUUCAGGUAUGAUCUAAAUUAUAUCAAUAAUGUUCAACGCCGUGAAUGCAAGGGGUAUGGUCACUAUGCGAACCAAUGCGCAAACACCCUUCGGAAAAUAGGAAAGUCUUAUUGGAUGUCAUGGAGUGAUGAUGAGGCGGAAUUCUUUGAUGGCUCAGAAAGCUCAAAGGAAGAAAAAGAUGAUGAGGAUUAAGGAGGAUGCUGGUGUGACAGCAUUUCACGUCACAAUUGGCAAAACAUUGCCUGACGAUGAGGAUGAUGAGGAUGAUCCUAGUUCCAACAGGUAUGGUUCAAAUUAUUACUCCAAUUUUCUGUGCCUUAACGCUUGUGUAGGUAACACUGAAGAAAGCAAUGAAAAGGUCGUGCUUAUCAUCAUAGAGCUCAAAAAGUUGUAUGACGAGUUACUUGGAAAAUGGAAGGAAUAAGGAAAGGAGCUGGUCUAUACAAGGAGUGAGAACAGAAAGCUAAAGGCGUCUCUAGCGAAGCUCGAAGCCUUGGUUACUCAAAAGGAAGUCAAGCUAAACCAAGUUACAAUCCAGCUGGAUGAAGCUCAAGCAGUCAUCACAAAAUGGAUAUCCAGCAGACACAUGUAUGAUGAGUUUGUGGCUGCAAGUAGUCUAGAAACUACUGGUUCGGGAUACCUUGCUGAGACAACAACCACACCCGCUGUCAACCCCACACCAGGAAUAACAAAGGUAUAAUCCACCCAUGGCAAAGAGUUUUUAGUGGAAGGAACCCCUGUGGAGAAGAAGCAUAAUCGAAAGAAGAUGUAUGUGUGUCAUUACUAUUUUGAAAUUGGUGACAUACAACCUUUUUGCUUUAGAAAGUACACGAUGAAAAUAAGUUCUUUGUAAGCAAAAAGAAAACAAAAGGGGUGAGAAAGCCACAAUGGGUAAGGAAGGAUGAGAUCAAGUGUAAUGUUGUGUAUACUGCUAUAAAAACUAACAUUUCAGGC
Molecule: long non-coding RNA, 10019 nt
Organism: Salvia miltiorrhiza (redroot sage)
Lineage: Eukaryota; Viridiplantae; Streptophyta; Magnoliopsida; Lamiales; Lamiaceae
Exons: 2
Source: RefSeq, a predicted model, not a curated record